UACGUAGGGGGCUAGCGUUGUCCGGAUUUAUUGGGCGUAAAGAGCGUGUAGGCGGCCAGGUAGGUCUGGUGUGAAAACUCGAGGCUUAACCUCGAGAUGUCAUCGGAAACCAUCUGGCUAGAGUCCGGAAGAGGAGAGUGGAAUUCCGGGUGUAGUGGUGAAAUGCGUAGAUAUCCGGAGGAACACCAGUGGCGAAAGCGGCCACCUGGACUGCACCUGACGCUGACACGCGAAAGCUAGGGGAGCGAACGGG
RNAcentral lists this ribosomal RNA (253 nucleotides) under uncultured bacterium. RNAcentral describes it as "partial 16S ribosomal RNA". It matches the Rfam family "Bacterial small subunit ribosomal RNA", at positions 524 to 776 of the family's 1533-position model. The record is from RNAcentral.